GCAAGCUAUUAACAUAGCAGGGUAUAAGAAAAUCUUAAUUAAACAGAACUUGCAAUAAAGAAAGCCUAAAUAGGGCUCUCUUUACAGGAAGUGUUUAUGGAAGGCUGUGCAAGUCACAUGCAGGGAGGUGUGACUAGGGUUCAUAAACAAAGGGAUUUAACUUUAAAGGAACACUCCAGGCACCAUAACAACUUCAUUUACACUAAGUCUUUAAGGUG
Non-coding RNA from Pelobates cultripes (western spadefoot toad), 218 nucleotides. NCBI's taxonomy places the organism in Eukaryota, Metazoa, Chordata, Amphibia, Anura, Pelobatidae. The record is from the annotation of a GenBank genome assembly.